Molecule: ribosomal RNA, 496 nt
Filed under: uncultured bacterium
Lineage: Bacteria
Description: bacterial SSU rRNA
Rfam family: Bacterial small subunit ribosomal RNA
Source: RNAcentral
ACGCUGGGCGGCGUCGCCUAAUACAUGCAAGUCGAACGAACGGAUAAAGAGCUUGCUUCUUUUGAAGUUAGUGGCGGACGGGUGAGUAACACGUGGGUAACCUGCCUCACAGCGUGGGGAUAACAUCGAGAAAUCGAUGCUAAUACCGAAUGUGCUGAACAUCAUAAGAUGUUCAAGUGAAAGACGGUUUCGGCUGUCACUGUGAGAUGGACCCGCGCUGGAUUAGCUAGUUGGUAAGGUAAUGGCUUACCAAGGCGACGAUCCAUAGCCGACCUGAGAGGGUGAUCGGCCACAUUGGGACUGAGACACGGCCCAAACUCCUACGGGAGGCAGCAGUAGGGAAUCUUCGGCAAUGGACGAAAGUCUGACCGAGCAACGCCGCGUGAGCGAAGAAGGCCUUCGGGUCGUAAAGCUCUGUUGUUAGAGAAGAACAUGGGUGAGAGUAACUGUUCACCCCUUGACGGUAUCUAACCAGAAAGCCACGGCUAACUACGUG